This is a long non-coding RNA of Quercus robur (English oak), 677 nucleotides long. RefSeq lists it as uncharacterized. The record is from RefSeq and is a predicted model, not a curated record. The transcript has 2 exons. NCBI's taxonomy places the organism in Eukaryota, Viridiplantae, Streptophyta, Magnoliopsida, Fagales, Fagaceae.
GUGAAAAAGCUCUACAAGAAUCAAGUCUCAAAGCCUUCAAGAACAUCAAGAACUUCAAUCCCAAAAUCGGAGAACAUUCGAAGCAGAAUCAUCCAAACCAUUUGCCUAGAUCCUAAAGUUUGCGGGAAUCAAGCUCAAAGGUCCGAAAACAUCAACAAAUCACAAGUCAGUGAAGCUCUACAGAUUCAAGCCUCCAAAACCCCGAAGAACUUCCACCACAAACCUUCAAAUACAAAGAACAUUCGAAGCAGAAUCAUCCAAACUACCAGCCUAGAUCUCAAAGGUCACUGGAAUCAAGCCCAAAAGCCUCCAGAAACCUCAAACAACCACAAAUCAGUGAAGCUCCAUGGAUUCAAGCCUCUAAAGCUCCGGCGAACUUCCACCACAAAUCUUCGAAGACGAAGAACACACGAAGAACACAAAGAACGUGAAGAACAAAGGAUUUCUAACAAGCUCAUAACCAGAGAUUCAUUGUAAUUCUGUUCCAAAGAUCUUCGAUCCAUCCCUUAACCAAAUUGAAGGAUAUCCUGUGUUUAAAUCAAAAUCACAUCACUACAAAUCCAAUCAACAAAUCUUUGAAGGAGAUCGAAUUAGAGGAUUAAUAUUUUGUAAUCACAGAGAAUUGUACCACACAAUCAUCAAUACAAAUUCGCAUUUGUGAAACUAUUUUAUUUGUU